RNAcentral lists this ribosomal RNA (304 nucleotides) under uncultured bacterium. RNAcentral's name for it is "partial 16S ribosomal RNA". It matches the Rfam family "Bacterial small subunit ribosomal RNA", at positions 509 to 807 of the family's 1533-position model. The record is from RNAcentral.
CAGCAGCCGCCACGGUAAUACGAAGGGUGCAAGCGUUACUCGGAAUUACUGGGCGUAAAGCGUGCGUAGGUGGUGGUUUAAGUCCGUUGUGAAAGCCCUGGGCUCAACCUGGGAAUUGCAGUGGAUACUGGGUCACUAGAGUGUGGUAGAGGAUAGUGGAAUUUCCGGUGUAGCAGUGAAAUGCGUAGAGAUCGGAAGGAACAUCUGUGGCGAAGGCGACUAUCUGGGCCAACACUGACACUGAGGCACGAAAGCGUGGGGAGCAAACAGGAUUAGAUACCCCUGUAGUCCCUGUCUCUUAUAC